CCAGCUUCAUUAUGGAUGGCUUGUGUAGCUCAUGGACGAAGACCCCAGCUGGAACAUGAGCACGAGUAGAUCCAGGUUUGGAUAGGAUGUCCGCGGCAACGUUGUUAUCGCGAGCUACGUGGUGGAACUCCAGACCUGAGAACUGGUUCUCUAGCUUGUGUACUUCCAGGUCGUACGCAACCAUGUUGUCCUUGUGGCGAUCCUACUCAUCGUUAAC
Molecule: long non-coding RNA, 217 nt
Filed under: Setaria italica (foxtail millet)
Lineage: Eukaryota; Viridiplantae; Streptophyta; Magnoliopsida; Poales; Poaceae
Description: long non-coding RNA (SITA_LNC005727)
Source: RNAcentral